UACAGAGGUCUCAAGCGUUGUUCGGAUUCAUUGGGCGUAAAGGGUGCGUAGGUGGCAUGGCAAGUCGGAUGUGAAAUCCCGGGGCUCAACCCCGGAACUGCAUUCGAUACUGCUGCGCUAGAGUACUGGAGAGGAGAUUGGAAUUUACGGUGUAGCAGUGAAAUGCGUAGAUAUCGUAAGGAAGACCAGUGGCGAAGGCGGAUCUCUGGACAGUUACUGACACUGAGGCACGAAGGCCAGGGGAGCAAACGGG
This 253-nucleotide ribosomal RNA is filed under the name uncultured bacterium. Its description in RNAcentral is "partial 16S ribosomal RNA". It matches the Rfam family "Bacterial small subunit ribosomal RNA", at positions 524 to 776 of the family's 1533-position model. The record is from RNAcentral.